AACUUUUGACAACGGAUCUCUUGGUUCUGGCAUCGAUGAAGAACGCAGCGAAAUGCGAUAAGUAAUAUGAAUUGCAGAAUUCAGUGAAUCAUCGAAUCUUUGAACGCACAUUGCGCCCGCCAGUAUUCUGGCGGGCAUGCCUGUUCGAGCGUCAUUUCAACCCUCAAGCCCCCGGGCUUGGUGUUGGAGAUCGGCGUGCCCCCCGGGGCGCGCCGGCUCCCAAAUAUAGUGGCGGUCUCGCUGUAGCUUCCUCUGCGUAGUAGCACACCUCGCACUGGAAAACAGCGUGGCCACGCCGUUAAACCCCCCACUUCUGAAAGGUUGACCUCGGAUCAGGUAGGAAUACCCGCUGAACUUAAGCAUAUCAAUAAGCGGAGGCU
This 380-nucleotide unclassified non-coding RNA is filed under the name uncultured Neonectria. RNAcentral's name for it is "sequence contains ITS2". The stretch from base 1 to 154 matches the Rfam family "5.8S ribosomal RNA". Lineage: Eukaryota; Fungi; Ascomycota; Sordariomycetes; Hypocreales; Nectriaceae. The record is from RNAcentral.